RNAcentral lists this unclassified non-coding RNA (405 nucleotides) under Hevea brasiliensis (rubber tree). Lineage: Eukaryota; Viridiplantae; Streptophyta; Magnoliopsida; Malpighiales; Euphorbiaceae. The record is from RNAcentral.
GAUUUAUCUACAUUUCAUCAGUUAUUGAUAGUGAUGAAAACGUACCCUCAACGAGGUCAGGGCUCAGCAGUCUCUAUAAGGAGGCUAUGAGUGCAUCAAGAUUGCUGGUAGUCUCCAGAGUGUCAAACCAGAAGGUCCUUCCUUGGAUGGUUUCUUCAACAGGAGCAAUACGAUGCUUUGACACUGUUUCACUUAGCCAAAAACUUUCACUCCAUCGGCAUGCCAAGACACCUAUCCUGAUUCAUGUUUUCUUAUGGGACCGAGCAUUGGCUUCUCCAAGUACAGGAAGUGCUAGGCUUAGGUCUGUCUCUCCUCCGGUCAUGUCAUUGCCACCAGAAAUUCAAUUGGCACGCCAUCCUAAUGAAAAUCAAAUACUACCUCUACCUCUACCACCUGAAGUUGCGG